CAUAGAUUAGGCUCAUUGGCCAGUAGUCAUCCACAUUCGUGUGAGUAUUUUUUUAUGAUUGAUUUAAUCAUUUAAAUGUGUAAUAACUAAUCCCUCCGUCCCGAAAUUCUCGCCGAACGCAGAGUUCAUUGGUAAAUUUGCAAACAAAUCCUUGCAAGAUGAAAAGUGUCUCAAACAGAGCCCUCCGCCCCGUCUUCUUCCUUCGCUCGUCACCCGCGCGUUGCCAAGGCCGGCG
This 235-nucleotide long non-coding RNA is filed under the name Hordeum vulgare. RNAcentral's name for it is "long non-coding RNA (HVUL_LNC015198)". The record is from RNAcentral. Lineage: Eukaryota; Viridiplantae; Streptophyta; Magnoliopsida; Poales; Poaceae.